CGGCGUCUGGACGUUUGGUUUU
RNAcentral lists this microRNA (22 nucleotides) under Schistosoma japonicum. Its description in RNAcentral is "sja-miR-3496". The record is from miRBase by way of RNAcentral. Lineage: Eukaryota; Metazoa; Platyhelminthes; Trematoda; Strigeidida; Schistosomatidae.